Molecule: unclassified non-coding RNA, 730 nt
Filed under: Hevea brasiliensis (rubber tree)
Lineage: Eukaryota; Viridiplantae; Streptophyta; Magnoliopsida; Malpighiales; Euphorbiaceae
Source: RNAcentral
GAUAAUUUGAUAUAAGAAUGUUUGUUCCAAGUGGAAAAGGACAUGCUCCUCAAUAUGAUUUGAUGUCUUAUGCAUCCUUUAAAGGUUCAUGAUAAGUGCAUGUUGAUUCUUGAUUAUGCAAUUCCAUUAUCAAGUUUAGUUCCUGCACUCUUGAAAGGCUAAUCAUACUGCAUGUUAUUUCUCUGGUUGUUCUUACAGCAGUCCUAGACAUUUUCUUUUCAUGGAUAUUGAACAUGGUAACAUGAGAACUCUGAGGUGUCCAUUCUAUUUUCCUUUGGGUUUGUCAUAAACUCAGUGCCAGAGCAAUUUGAUACUGGAAUGUUCUGUUCAAAAUGGUAGUGGACCUGAUUCUUGAUAUGUAUUUGACAUCUCUGCUUGCUGAUCUUUUUAGCAUCUUCAUUACAGGAGUGUUCAUUUUAAUGCAUGUUUGACUACACCAGUGCUCCAUGCUAGAGCCCUAUUGGUCUUACAACAAUAAGAUGAUUUUUUUAAGCAUAUUGUGAUCAUACCUUGUGUCCUAGCAACUUGUGUAAAAUGAAGAUAAUGAUGGGGUUGUCAUACAUAGAUGUCCCUCCUCUUCCUAGUUAAAAGAAUUUUUCUCCUUAUGUCCAAGUCACUUGCAUAUAUUUACAUGGUUAGCAAGAGUUAUGUGACAGGUAAAGGUGGAAAUCCGUAUAAAUACACUUAAAUAUUUUUGCCUACUGUGUAGGACAAUCAUGGCUUUAUGGAA